AGAGUUUGAUCCUGGCUCAGGACGAACGCUGGCGGCGUGCCUAAUACAUGCAAGUCGAGCGAACCGAUGGGAGCUUGCUCCCUGACGUGAGCGGCGGACGGGUGAGUAACACGUGGGCAACCUGCCCGUAAGACUGGGAUAACUUCGGGAAACCGGAGCUAAUACCGGAUGAUCCCUUUUCCCAGGUGGGAAAAGGUUAAAAGGUGGCAUUAGCUACUACUUACGGAUGGGCCCGCGGCGCAUUAGCUAGUUGGUGAGGUAACAGCUCACCAAGGCCACGAUGCGUAGCCGACCUGAGAGGGUGAUCGGCCACACUGGGACUGAGACACGGCCCAGACUCCUACGGGAGGCAGCAGUAGGGAAUCUUCCGCAAUGGACGCAAGUCUGACGGAGCAACGCCGCGUGAGUGAUGAAGGUCUUCGGAUCGUAAAACUCUGUUGUUAGUGAAGAACAAGUACCGUUCAAAUAGGUCGGUACCUUGACGGUAACUAACGAGAAAGCCACGGCUAACUACGUGCCAGCAGCCGCGGUAAUACGUAGGUGGCAAGCGUUGUCCGGAAUUAUUGGGCGUAAAGGGCGCGCAGGCGGCCGAUUAAGUCUGAUGUGAAAUCCCACGGCUUAACCGUGGAAGGUCAUUGGAAACUGAUUGGCUUGAGUGCAGAAGAGGAGAGUGGAAUUCCACGUGUAGCGGUGAAAUGCGUAGAUAUGUGGAGGAACACCAGUGGCGAAGGCGGCUCUCUGGUCUGCAACUGACGCUGAGGCGCGAAAGCGUGGAUAGCAAACAGGAUUAGAUACCCUGGUAGUCCACGCUGUAAACGAUGAGUGCUAAGUGUCAGGGGGUUUCCGCCCCUUGGUGCUGGAGUUAACGCAUUAAGCACUCCGCCUGGGGAUUACGGCCGCAAGGCUGAAACUCAAAGGAAUUGACGGGGGCCCGCACAAGCGGUGGAGCAUGUGGUUUAAUUCGAAGCUACGCGAAGAACCUUACCAGGUCUUGACAUCCUCUGCUACUUUUAGAGAUAAAAGGUUCCCCUUCGGGGGACAGAGUGACAGGUGGUGCAUGGUUGUCGUCAGCUCGUGUCGUGAGAUGUUGGGUUAAGUCCCGCAACGAGCGCAACCCUUAGUUUUAGUUGCCAGCACGUAAAGGUGGGCACUCUAGAGCGACUGCCGGUGACAAACCGGAGGAAGGUUGGGAUGACGUCAAAUCAUCAUGCCCCUUAUGACCUGGGCUACACACGUGCUACAAUGGAUGGUACAACGGGGAGCGAAGCCGUGAGGCGGAGCAAAUCUCAGAAAACCAUUCUCAGUUCGGAUUGCAGGCUGCAACUCGCCUGCAUGAAGUCGGAAUCGCUAGUAAUCGCGGAUCAGCAUGCCGCGGUGAAUUCGUUCCCGGGCCUUGUACACACCGCCCGUCACACCACGAGAGUUUGUAACACCCGAAGUCGGUGAGGCAACCAUUUGGAGCCAGCCGCCGAAGGUGGGACAAAUGAUUGGGGUGAAGUCGUAACAAGGUA
RNAcentral lists this ribosomal RNA (1511 nucleotides) under uncultured bacterium. RNAcentral's name for it is "bacterial SSU rRNA". It matches the Rfam family "Bacterial small subunit ribosomal RNA". The record is from RNAcentral.